UCUGUACUGUCUCCUCUCUCUUUCUUUCUUCUAUCUGUUCUCUUUUUCUUCUCUCUUGGUACACAGCCCACAGUGAGAAUCGAUCAAUUCCCUGUAACCCACACUGAUGUCGACGAUUCUCAGGCCUCACGCUCAGACUGAUGUUGACCAUGCUAUGUUUUCUGGUUAUUUGUUUUCUUUGUAAAAAGAUCUGUCUUUGUCUCAGCAAUAGAAAGAUGAAUGGGAGUCUGGAUUAAGCGCAGAAAGUUCGGGCAUAGCUUAUGUCCAAUUUGGACCAAGCCUGCUAACAAGGAAGAUUGAGGAGUUUGAUGGAUCUUGAUUAAGCCUGCAGUUUAUUGACAAACAGGACAACACCAAACCGAAACUCGAUUUCUAUGAUGGGUGUACAGGCAGAGCUUGGAGGACAUACUGCCUUUGGAUUCAGAAUGGAACCCAUUAAACAUGUGGCAGGAGUGAAUUGCCUCACGUCCUGGAACUGAUUUGAGUUUGAACUACUAUCAUUUUACCUUUAUUUCACGUGUCGUUUGAGGUAGUAUUUUUAGUUAUAUAUAUGGACAAGUUAGGAUAAUAUUUUGGGUUUAUUUUUUGUUGCAUUAACACAACCCCCCCUCCCUUUUUUUGUCGCGGCUCAAGAUGAGACUAAUUAAAGAUAGGAAAACAAAUCUCCUUGAAAAUGAAUGGCUGAUUGAGAUGCGAGUGAAUUGAUAAGCUUUGAUAUGAAAGACCUUGCUACUCCUGCUAAAAAGCUUGUGAACCGUGUCAUCUAUCUUGGCAGAUGAAUCUUGGACUUUGUUGGAGGUAUAUUAUUGGGCAAUGUUAGUUUAAGACGAUUUAUUACAGAUCCUAUAGAUUAUUGGACAAUGUUAGUUUUAAAUGUUUUUUUUAAUUCUUGUCGGCUUCCUUUUACCAUAGAGUAUAUAUACUUACAGUUUCUUCAUCGUAGCUAAAUUUUGUUGAGGGUGCAUUUAAAUUGCAUACUGCAUCAUGUUUUAUCUAUUAUUUUUGUUUAUCCUCAAUUGAGGUCAAUGGGCAUUAUAUAAUACUUCACAACAUGGUGUUAGGCGAAAUGAAAAUUUGGUAACCAAGAAUCUUGGUUUUCAAUUUUUGCCAUUAUUACUGCUCCUGCUAAGCCUGUAACUAGGCAUCUGUUGAUAAUCUUCUUAUGAUGUGUCACUAAGGAACAAUAUCAAAUCUUCAAAUGGUUUACUAGAAAAGUAUAGGUAAUGUAUUUAUUUUGUAAGGUUUUGUAUUUCAAUAACUUGUUCUGAUUGUAUCUUUUUUGCACUAUUUGGGUUAUAUGUAACCUCUUAAUAUAUGUAUAGCUGUGGUUGUUUAUGUUUUGUGGCGUGUGGAGUACGGAAUUAAGAAAUCAAAGAAUUGGAAUGGGGCGAGUGAAAUUUGGGGGAAAAUUGGAACUUAGUUCCUAAUUUGGCUUGUUUUGGUGGUUAAUUAGGUGAUGGGAGGAGGAAUGCGAACCAUGACGGAGCCAAAUUAACCACCAAAAUUUUGCGUUCCUCCUGUCAUCUAAUUAACCACCAAAACAAGCCAAAUUAAGUUCUAGUUCUCCCCCAAAUUUCACUCGCCUCAUUCCAAUUCCUUGAUUUCUUAAUUCCAUACUCCACUCCACAAAACAGAAACAAACCGCCACAGCUAUGCAAACCAUGGCGGAGCAGAGAGCUAGUCUUUCUUGUUUAUUUGUUCAUUUGGUGGUUGUUUGGGGUUUGCUUGGUUGCCAAGACGUUUUGGUUGAUUGAAAGGAAGACGUUUUGGCACUUUUUUUUUUUCCCGUUAUUUUUUUGGAAAAAAAAAAGGGAGCAAAUUAAUGGAACUUAUGGUGUCUGGUUGGUUUAUAUAAUGAGUGAUUCUUUUCGGUUGUUGUGUCUUUGAGUGUGAAUCAAGGUUGGCGAAAGAUUCAGGGUAUUUCUUCAAUCUGAGGUAUUUUGAGGAUUGCGUGCUGAAUGGUGAAUGAUGUGGGAGCAUUACCUGGCUGGAUUUACUAAGGUUGAUGAAAACAGCGACUCUACGAAGAUUUUCUUUGCGAUUAGCCUUGAAGCCCUGACAGACAUAACCACGCUAAACCAGUCCAGAUUCUUCAAAGGGAUUUGAAAACUCUCUUGACAUUCGGUGAUGAGUUUUUUGAUGAAGUAUCAUCACUGUUUCUGCCGAUGGUCAUUUACAGACAUGGGCUGGAAAGGAAUGCGGAACCUUACAUUUCUUACUUUGACAGGGUUUGCACAUGUAUAUCAUUAGUUUUAUUUUUUGGACGUAUAAAAAUGACUCUUGGAACCAGUUUCUUCUUAAUUUGUAUAAAAAUGAGGGCCAUUCUGCACUGUUUACCCUUGCUGCUUUCAAAGUCAGGUCCUAGGAGGGAAAAAUGUCUUUUUUAGUAUUAACACAAACUCGAGAUCAAUUCCCAUAAUUUUAUGACAUGUAGCUAGUUAGGAGGCAUAAAAUAGUUUCAGAUUGAGCUAUGAGUGUGUGCGUCCUGUUCGUGUCUUGAUUUGGUCGUUCAUAACAUCUUCCCGUAAUUGUGAAACUCCCAGGUUUCUUUCACCAAGUACCUAUGACCAAGUUAAAAUUGGUAGUCAUAUACAAGUUAUAAUAAUUGUGAAACUCCCCUUGUUUCUUGCAUUGUUAUGUAACGCUGCCUUUUCUUGCUUGGCAUGUCGAAGGCAACUAGUGCUGUGGAUUUUGUGCCUAUUUUGAAUUGAAGUAUGCUUGCUCCGAAAAUUAUAUUAUGUGCAAGUUAGCCUAUGAGGGAAAAAUGUCUUUUUUAGUAUUAACACAAACUCGAGAUCAAUUCCCAUAAUUUUAUGACAUGUAAUUAGUUAGGAGGCAUAAAAUAGUUUCAGAUUGAGCUAUGAGUGUGUGCGUCCUGUUCGUGUCUUGAUUUUGUCGUUCAUAACAUCUUCCCGUAAUUGUGAAACUCCCAGGUUUCUUUCACCAAGUACCUAUGACCAAGUUAAAAUUGGUAGUCAUAUACAAGUUAUAAUAAUUGUGAAACUCCCCUUGUUUCUUGCAUUGUUAUGUAACGCUGCCUUUUCUUGCUUGGCAUGUCGAAGGCAACUAGUGCUGUGGAUUUUGUGCCUAUUUUGAAUUGAAGUAUGCUUGCUCCGAAAAUUAUAUUAUGUGCAAGUUAGCCUAGUUGUUUGUCUAAUAUCUUUAUUUUAUCUAUUUUUUAAAUUUCACAAUAACAUGCUUUAUUUAUUUAUUAUUUUAAAUAAAUAGAAAAACAGAAAAUCUGCUCAUGCUAGGUCCACUAGGGGUGCAAUGCUUUCUAAAGUAAAAAUGUUAAUUGAUGCAAUGUUUUGAAACUAGCUUAGCUUUAAGUGUACCGCGGUAAGGGCUAUGUUCUUUUCAUUCAAUUUCACUUUCACAACUAAGUUCUGUUUUGCUGUUGAUUUAUUUGAUAUGGUAGCAUCUUUUUUUAUAGCACCUUAUAGCAAACAGUGUUAAUAACCUUAUGUGAAACCUAAUAAAUGAUUGCUAGAUUUUGAGAUCUUGGGUCUAUCAUAACCUUGAGUUUGAAUAUUCAAUGUUAAAGCUUUUAAGACAUUUAUAUCAGAAAGUGCAACAAAAAAGUUUGGAAAGCAGUUAAAAUAUAUCGGGCCUUCCCCUAAGGUCGACUCGAUUAUUCCUAACUAAGAAUCUGUGAACUUUUUAUGUCUUCCAUCUCCUAAAUUGGAUAAACCAAG
Prunus dulcis (almond) is the source of this 3695-nucleotide long non-coding RNA. RefSeq lists it as uncharacterized. The record is from RefSeq and is a predicted model, not a curated record. The transcript is spliced from 6 exons. NCBI's taxonomy places the organism in Eukaryota, Viridiplantae, Streptophyta, Magnoliopsida, Rosales, Rosaceae.